RNAcentral lists this ribosomal RNA (509 nucleotides) under Lytorhynchus diadema. RNAcentral's name for it is "partial 16S ribosomal RNA". It matches the Rfam family "Bacterial large subunit ribosomal RNA", at positions 1816 to 2597 of the family's 2925-position model. The record is from RNAcentral. Lineage: Eukaryota; Metazoa; Chordata; Lepidosauria; Squamata; Colubridae.
AACCUUUAGCCAAACAAAUAUUAAAGGCAACGCCUGCCCGGUGAAUAAUUAAACGGCCGCGGUACCCUAACCGUGCAAAGGUAGCGUAAUCAUUUGUCUACUAACUAUAGACCUGUAUGAAAGGCAAAAUGAAGGUCUAACUGUCUCUUAUAAUAAAUCAAUGAAACUGAUCUCCUAGUAAAAAAGCUAGGAUUAACCCACAAGACCAGAAGACCCUGUGAAGCUUAAACUAAACUACUAAACCCCAUAAUAGCUACUUUCGGUUGGGGCGACCUUGGAAAUAAAAAGAACUUCCAAACCAAAUGACUAUACUCAUACAAACUAGGCCCACAAGCCAAUAAAUGACCCAGUACAGCUGACAAUUGAACCAAGCUACUCCAGGGAUAACAGCGCAAUCUUCUUCAAGAGCCCAUAUCAGAAAGUAAGGUUUACGACCUCGAUGUUGGAUCAGGACAUCCUAAUGGUGCAGCAGCUAUUAAGGGUUCGUUUGUUCAACGAUUAACAGUCCU